This is a long non-coding RNA of Cavia porcellus (domestic guinea pig), 780 nucleotides long. RefSeq lists it as uncharacterized. The transcript has 2 exons. NCBI's taxonomy places the organism in Eukaryota, Metazoa, Chordata, Mammalia, Rodentia, Caviidae. The record is from RefSeq and is a predicted model, not a curated record.
CCUGAGGGGCAGAGAGAGAAGGAAAAGGAAGUAAAAGGAAGGAGAGAUGCAAGGGAAGUAGGGAGGGAGGAUGGUAGGAAGAGCCGAAGGAAGGAAGGAAGAACGGAAGGAAGCAAGGAAUGACGGAAGGACGGAAGGAAGGAAGGAAGGAGCGUUCUGGCGGGGGUGGGCCAGAAGCAAUCAAAGGAGAAGUGGCUGGGAUGGAGCAGGCAGAAGCUGGGAGCCAGCUCCUGCUCCACCUGGGCUGACCUGGCUUUCUCUGCUAACCCCAAACCAACCCUGCUUCUCUCCUUCCUCGGAUCUAAUCUGUGCUCCUGAACUCAGCACUCAGGGGCGCGAGUUCUGGCCUCCACCUCCCUGAGCCUCAUUCCGCACAGUCCAGCCCCUCGAGCACACCCCUUACCACUGUGUUGCUGGGGGACAUGGGUACCUCUUCCUCCUGGAGGCUGUCCCUGAGCAACCACUAUUCCUGAGAGCACAGUGGCCUUCACGACACGCCUCAAGCCAAGCGGCCAGUCCACUGAAGAUCCAUAACCUUGAAUGGCUCUGGUCACAUGAGCAUGGGUGGCAGGUCCCCAGGGGGCUCCCCAGAGAGGUCACAUGCUCUCUUAUAGCUGCUUCCUGUCAACUAUCUUUUUUUUAACCUGGCCUUGCUGGAGGUUGGUAUCUUGGCAGUAUCUGAGUCUGAAUAUCUGAAUUCUGGGAACAGUCUUAUCAGUUCAUUGCUCCCUUUAGGGAAGAACAUGUAACCAGGCUAAUGAAUGCUGUUUUAGAUUUGCA